This 253-nucleotide ribosomal RNA is filed under the name uncultured bacterium. RNAcentral's name for it is "partial 16S ribosomal RNA". It matches the Rfam family "Bacterial small subunit ribosomal RNA", at positions 524 to 776 of the family's 1533-position model. The record is from RNAcentral.
UACGUAGGGGGCAAGCGUUGUCCGGAUUUAUUGGGCGUAAAGAGCGUGUAGGCGGCUUUGCAAGUCCGUUGUGAAAACUCGAGGCUCAACCUCGAGACGCCGGUGGAAACUGCAAAGCUAGAGUCCGGAAGAGGAGAGUGGAAUUCCUGGUGUAGCGGUGGAAUGCGCAGAUAUCAGGAAGAACACCCGUGGCGAAGGCGGCUCUCUGGGACGGUACUGACGCUGAGACGCGAAAGCGUGGGGAGCGAACAGG